UACGUAGGGUGCAAACGUUAAUCGGAAUUACUGGGCGUAAAGCGUGCGCAGGCGGCUUUGCAAGACAGAUGUGAAAUCCCCGGGCUUAACCUGGGAACUGCAUUUGUGACUGCAUGGCUGGAGUGCGGCAGAGGGGGAUGGAAUUCCGCGUGUAGCAGUGAAAUGCGUAGAUAUGCGGAGGAACACCGAUGGCGAAGGCAAUCCCCUGGGCCUGCACUGACGCUCUUGCACGAAAGCGUGGGGAGCAAACAGG
RNAcentral lists this ribosomal RNA (253 nucleotides) under uncultured bacterium. Its description in RNAcentral is "partial 16S ribosomal RNA". It matches the Rfam family "Bacterial small subunit ribosomal RNA", at positions 524 to 776 of the family's 1533-position model. The record is from RNAcentral.